This 646-nucleotide ribosomal RNA is filed under the name Sarocladium spinificis. Its description in RNAcentral is "partial large subunit ribosomal RNA". It matches the Rfam family "Eukaryotic large subunit ribosomal RNA", at positions 123 to 798 of the family's 3401-position model. The record is from RNAcentral. Lineage: Eukaryota; Fungi; Ascomycota; Sordariomycetes; Hypocreales; Sarocladiaceae.
UGGCCGCAAGGUCCGAGUUGUAAUUUGCAGAGGAUGCUUUUGGCGAGGUGCCUUCCGAGUUCCCUGGAACGGGACGCCAUAGAGGGUGAGAGCCCCGUACGGUAGGACCACCGAGCCUUUGUAAAGCUCCUUCGACGAGUCGAGUAGUUUGGGAAUGCUGCUCUAAAUGGGAGGUGUACGUCUUCUAAAGCUAAAUACCGGCCAGAGACCGAUAGCGCACAAGUAGAGUGAUCGAAAGAUGAAAAGCACUUUGAAAAGAGGGUUAAAAAGUACGUGAAAUUGUUGAAAGGGAAGCAUUCAUGACCAGACUUGGGCUUGGUUGAACAUCCGGCGUUCUCGCCGGUGCACUCUGCCAGUCCAGGCCAGCAUCAGUUUGCCCCGGGGGACAAAGGCGGUGGGAAUGUGGCUCUCUCCGGGGAGUGUUAUAGCCCGCCGUGUAAUGCCCUGGGGCGGACUGAGGAACGCGCUUCGGCUCGGAUGCUGGCGUAAUGGUCAUCAAUGACCCGUCUUGAAACACGGACCAAGGAGUCGUCUUCGUAUGCGAGUGUUCGGGUGUCAAACCCCUACGCGAAAUGAAAGUGAACGUAGGUGAGAGCUUCGGCGCAUCACCGACCGAUCCUGAUGUUCUCGGACGGAUUUGAGUAAG